GACGAACGCUGGCGGCGUGCUUAACACAUGCAAGUCGAACGGAAAGGCCCUGCUUUUGUGGGGUGCUCGAGUGGCGAACGUGUGAGUAACACGUGAGUAACCUGCCCUUUACUUUGGGAUAACUUCAGGAAACUGGUGCUAAUACCGGAUAGGAGCUCCUGCUGCAUGGUGGGGGUUGGAAAGUUUCGGCGGUUGGGGAUGGACUCGCGGCUUAUCAGCUUGUUGGUGGGGUAGUGGCUUACCAAGGCUUUGACGGGUAGCCGGCCUGAGAGGGUGACCGGCCACAUUGGGACUGAGAUACGGCCCAGACUCCUACGGGAGGCAGCAGUGGGGAAUAUUGCACAAUGGGCGGAAGCCUGAUGCAGCAACGCCGCGUGCGGGAUGACGGCCUUCGGGUUGUAAACCGCUUUCGCCUGUGACGAAGCGUGAGUGACGGUAAUGGGUAAAGAAGCACCGGCUAACUACGUG
This 468-nucleotide ribosomal RNA is filed under the name uncultured bacterium. RNAcentral describes it as "partial 16S ribosomal RNA". It matches the Rfam family "Bacterial small subunit ribosomal RNA", at positions 28 to 507 of the family's 1533-position model. The record is from RNAcentral.